This is a long non-coding RNA of Sebastes umbrosus (honeycomb rockfish), 179 nucleotides long. RefSeq lists it as uncharacterized. The record is from RefSeq and is a predicted model, not a curated record. Lineage: Eukaryota; Metazoa; Chordata; Actinopteri; Perciformes; Sebastidae. The transcript is spliced from 3 exons.
CUACACUAAGGUGGAGGAAAAUGUAGAUAAAAUGAAAACCUUCAGUUAGCUAAUGCAACAAGUUGGGCCAGCUAACUACAGCUAACUAGCUAACUAACUAGAAAGACAAACUGACAGAUAAACAGGUUUAUCAGUUUGCUGCUCAGACACAAACGAGCAUGAACAACAACAACAGCUGU